Molecule: RNA transcript, 1925 nt
Organism: Cebus imitator (Panamanian white-faced capuchin)
Lineage: Eukaryota; Metazoa; Chordata; Mammalia; Primates; Cebidae
Gene name: polycomb group RING finger protein 5-like
Exons: 3
Source: RefSeq, a predicted model, not a curated record
CUCUCCCGCCCAGGAAACGGGAAGGGCUCUUCCGCCGGAAAAAGAGUGGAUUUACUACGAAGAUGGCACAUUGGAGGGGCCGUCGCCUGCAGUAAGGCCGGUCCUUGGCCACCCGGCGGAGCCGGUGACAGCAGCGCCCUGGAAGGCAGGCAGCCGUAUCAGGUUUCAGAGGAUGCGGCAGAGAACGGGAGUAGAGGUAUAUAAGCUCCCUGAAAUCACAAAGUAGUUAUUUCCACGUUCAGAUCAUUCAGAGAUUAUGAAGUCACACACCCUGCCUUCAAUUUGCUUAUCGUCGAAUAGAGCAGACACAAGUGAAUGAUUGCAGUAUAGCCACUUAAGUAAUCUAAAAGAGGGGCUGAAAGAUCCUAACGUGACAGGGGUGAGGAGGAAGACAAAGAACGUAUAUUCCCAAUGACAAAGUCCAGAGUGCAUAACAGAUGCCCUGCUAGACACUGUCAAAUACAGCUUCACCUGGAGAUGCAGUGUAAGAAGUUGGAUGGUUCUGGGAGCUUUUAACCCCUCAGGAAGCACUAGAUGCAAGCAGGAAGGUGAUGGUUUAUGUGAGACCUGGACACAGGAAGGUGAAGAAAAAUGUCACUGCUUCUUGAGCACAGAUUUGGGCAAUAGUGCCUUUCCUUCCCAGUGACUAAGCCUGAUCAUUUGGGCAGCACCAUUCCUAGAUGAUGAAAAGAACCAUCCAGUGGACCUCAUAGCGCAGUGAGAUUUCUCCUUGACCCAGUGAUUUUAAGAAUGUUUGCCAAGAUCUAUGAUUAAAGAUUUGCGGUGGGGACCGGCCGGGCUGUGGCGGGUCCUGUUUCUCUUUCACUUUACUUCACUCUGAGGCCAGCGCGCUGGCGGGUGAGGAGUGGCGGUGGUGGCGGCUGCUGGACGUGGGAAAGCACAACCACCAAAAGGAGUGCUGAUCAACGAUCUCAUGAUAAAUCUGGAUGCUGGUUCUCAUGCCUCAGGACGUCCUACUGGGAGUGCCACGCCAGCUCCUGGGAUCAGACUUUCAUCUACUUAGGACUUCUCUUUGCCUGAACUACUAAAGCCAGUCCUAGCUAGCCGCGAAUGGCUACCCAAAGCAAACACUUGGUGAAAGAUUUUAAUCUUUUCAUUACCUGCUAUAUCUGUAAAGGGUAUCUGAUCAAGCCAACAACAAUGACGGAAUGCCUCCAUACAGUCUGUAAGACUUGUGUUGUUCAGCACUUUGAAGAUAGCAAUGAUUGCCCAAGGUGUGGCAACCAAGUUCAUGAGACAAAGCCAUUAGACAUGUUGAGAUUGGACAGUACAUUAGAGGAAAUUAUGUUUAAGCUCGUCCCUGGACUACGAGAACAGGACUUGAGUGUGAAUCUGAAUUUUGGAAGAAAAAUAAGCCUCAAGAAAAUGGACAAGAUGUUACUUCAAAAGUUGAUAAACCGAAAGUAGAUGAAGAAGGGGAUGAAAAUCAAGAUUAUCAUAGAAGUGACCCACAAAUUGCUAUCUGUCUAGAUUGUUUAUGAAAUAAUGGACUGUUGGGGGACAGUGUAGUAAAGGGUUCAAUGAAGAAAUUCAUUCGAUGUUCUACACGUGUAACUGUUGAAACUAUUACAAAAUUUCUAAGUUUAAAACUAAAACUUCCAAGUUCUUAUGAGUUGGUUGUGCUGUGCAAUGGUGAAAUUAUGGGGAAGGAUCAUAAUUGGAAUUCAUCUACAUGACAAGAUGGUGACUAAGAGGCGAAAACUUUCGGUGCUUGAACUGCUCAGCUCCGCAAGUCUGCUCUCAGGAGGGCCCUUUGUAUCAGUCAUACCCUGUGGUAGUGCAGUAUCGACCAAGAAUUGAUUCCAGUUAGACGAAGGGGCCCAGACCUCACUGAGAUGAAUCCUGCACUAUUUGUUUACUGGUCAACAGAUUGCACAGUUAAUGGUGUGUCAACUAGAGAACAC